GCGAGCGGAACCACAGAUUUACUUCGGUAAUGACGUUGGGAAAGCGAGCGGCGGAUGGGUGAGUAACACGUGGGGAACCUGCCCCUAAGUCUGGGAUACCAUUUGGAAACAGGUGCUAAUACCGGAUAAUAAAGCAGAUCGCAUGAUCAGCUUUUGAAAGGCGGCGUAAGCUGUCGCUAAGGGAUGGCCCCGCGGUGCAUUAGCUAGUUGGUAAGGUAACGGCUUACCAAGGCGACGAUGCAUAGCCGAGUUGAGAGACUGAUCGGCCACAUUGGGACUGAGACACGGCCCAAACUCCUACGGGAGGCAGCAGUAGGGAAUCUUCCACAAUGGACGCAAGUCUGAUGGAGCAACGCCGCGUGAGUGAAGAAGGUUUUCGGAUCGUAAAGCUCUGUUGUUGGUGAAGAAGGAUAGAGGUAGUAACUGGCCUUUAUUUGACGGUAAUCAACCAGAAAGUCACGGCUAACUACGUGCCAGCAGCCGCGGUAAUACGUAGGUGGCAAGCGUUGUCCGGAUUUAUUGGGCGUAAAGCGAGCGCAGGCGGAAAAAUAAGUCUAAUGUGAAAGCCCUCGGCUUAACCGAGGAACUGCAUCGGAAACUGUUUUUCUUGAGUGCAGAAGAGGAGAGUGGAACUCCAUGUGUAGCGGUGGAAUGCGUAGAUAUAUGGAAGAACACCAGUGGCGAAGGCGGCUCUCUGGUCUGCAACUGACGCUGAGGCUCGAAAGCAUGGGUAGCGAACAGGAUUAGAUACCCUGGUAGUCCAUGCCGUAAACGAUGAGUGCU
This 783-nucleotide ribosomal RNA is filed under the name uncultured bacterium. Its description in RNAcentral is "bacterial SSU rRNA". It matches the Rfam family "Bacterial small subunit ribosomal RNA", at positions 57 to 817 of the family's 1533-position model. The record is from RNAcentral.